UCUUGUUAAGACGGGGUUCAGGAAAAGACUAGGCCUGCUCGAGGAUUGACUGGCUGGGCGGGGGCGUGGGAAGGAGGAGUAACUGAGUUAAUUGCCUCUGGAAGAGAGAUAAGCAAGUUGGGGUUUAACGAGGUUAAAAUUAUGUCCUGAGGAUGUCGGGGAGCCCACGCACACGUGGUGGCUUCACUACUUGUGAAACUGGACGGUUUAGCCUAUCUGAGACUUAGUAUCCUCAUCUGUAAAAUAGGCUUAAAGCUUAAAGAUGUACUGAGGAUUAAAGGACCCAUAACAUAUGCCUGUGUCAGGCACUUAGGGCAUACUCAAUAAAUGUUCCUUUCUUGGAAGUUACAAGGAGUUCUUGGGCACACUUCCUGCCAGGAAAGUCCUGCAUAUAGAGCUAAACUAAAGAGAGAUGAGGUCUCAUUGGGCUGGGUAAAUGUUAAAAUCCACUGGGUUUUAUUCCUAGUCGUUUAUCCCUUUCCCUUCAUCCCUGGAUAGGUACUGAGAUGUCCUCUCCUCUGUUUCUCAGGAGUUGCAAGAUAGAGAAAACACUGUCUUGUUUCUGAAGCAUCAAAGUUGGGUGAGAUGACAUAGAACAAAGCCAAAAAUUAUGAAGAUACAUGACGUAAGUUCCAUAUGAGUGUUCUUCCAUCAGGGACUGUGGCACUAACAUUACUUCAGAGGCAUACUCCUAAGCUUAUUGUGGGCAAAAGGAAUAGGAUCCUCUUAACUGUACAAGAUUAGGAGUGGGCACCUGGCUUUGUUCUGACUGCUAAGACCCAAGGAGAAGUCUGCUGAAAACACUUCUGGGAAAGUUUUCCUUGUUCUUAAGAGAUAUAAAGAGACAUAAAGAUACAAUAGCAUCCAGUGGCACCGUCUCCACUGGAUGCUAUUGUAUCUGGCUGUGUGACCUGAGGUUAGAAUGACCAUCUUAAAACCAUGAGAGGAUCCAGCUUCAGGACCAAAACAGUAAACUGAUGAUGGCAGAGUGAAGAGACAGAAUGAACUGGGGUCUACGAUGUUGUCAAGUCAAUAAACCAAUCAGCUUUGGUGCUGUUCUCCUUCUGGAUUUCUUGUUAUAUGAGAUAAUAAAUAUCUGCAUUGUUGAGUCAAUUUGA
Non-coding RNA from Ictidomys tridecemlineatus (thirteen-lined ground squirrel), 1118 nucleotides. The record is from RefSeq and is a predicted model, not a curated record. Lineage: Eukaryota; Metazoa; Chordata; Mammalia; Rodentia; Sciuridae.